Molecule: long non-coding RNA, 1432 nt
Organism: Bombus terrestris (buff-tailed bumblebee)
Lineage: Eukaryota; Metazoa; Arthropoda; Insecta; Hymenoptera; Apidae
Exons: 2
Source: RefSeq, a predicted model, not a curated record
ACCUAUUAUAUUCUUAACAUUUUUCCACGCGUCUCCACCUGUUUCCGUCUAGUCAAAUUGAAAAUCGCUUUACAAUAAUUUAGAUAUGUGAAUGGGACUUUAUCCGAAUCUUUUCCUGUAUCUCGUAGGUGAUAUAAUCAUUAACGAGUUGUCUAUGAUAAUUUCUAUGUUCGCUAUAGGAAAUUACAGAGGACGUAAGAAACACUCUGAUUUUUUGGCAGAGAGGAAAUCUUUUCUGUUCUUAAUCCAUGCUGUAUACUCGUCUUUUGUCAAUGAUAGUGACAAAAUGAUGAAUGCUGUGAGGGCGAAGAAGAGUAUAGAAAAAUGAAGUAUACCAAUUAACCGGUAGUGGCGCUAUAUACUAAAGUCAAUAUGGCCGCGAUCAAAUUGCUUCACGCGGCUUCACGAAAUUUCGUAUCCAUAGAAUAUAUGCCAGUGGCUCAUGCUGAUAUCCGAAUCCAGUUUCGGGAUUCCGAACGAUACGAGUAUGUCGAGAGUCCAUUUGAACUUCUUCCGGUUCAUUUCGAAUAAGCCUUAUAAAGAAUGAAAUAUAGAGUGUGCGUCGGAGUAGGAGUGGAUGCAUGCUCAAAUUAACAUUCAAAUUUUCAAGUUCAAACAUUAAAAAUUUAGACAUAUUAUAUUACAUUUUACAAUUUAGACAUAAUAUAAUUACUUAAUAAAAAGAAAUUUUAUUGAAUCAAUAAAAAAAGAUUUUCUUUGAUAAUUCAUAUUGAAGCAGUAUCAAUAGUUUCAUACACGGGCAGCUUAAUAAAAAUAAAAAAUAGAAAAAAUAUUAAAUUUCAAAGUUCUCCCGCAUUUUCUAAACGUUUAAUUACUUUCCUAUAUUCUUCUUCUAAACUGUUGUAUUCUUGGUCAAGAGUUUGCAUACGUUGCUCCAAUGUAGGUAGAGUGAUGUUCAUACGUUUAUCAAUGUUCUUCAACGCACAUUCCAAUUUUACCAAAUCAUUUUGUUCGCGUCUGUAUGGAAUAUUCAAUCUCCUUUUUAUAUCUAAUCUAUAUCUACGAUAUUCUUGCUCGUUUGCUAAAUCUGUUGCCCGUAAUCUUAAAAUUUCAUAUACUCUGCGAGCUUGUUUCUAAAAAUGAAAAUUAAUAUUUUAAUCUAAAAAUAUCUUUUAUAGUGAAAAAAAUAUAAAACAUACGUUAUUAAUCUUGAAUUUUUCUUUAGCCUCUUCACCCAUCGCUUUACUAUAACCUUGAAGUAGAUAUUCUCGUGAAAAACUAGAUAAUUUACUGCAAUUCAUUGCAUCCACAUAAUCUCUUAACCGUUGAAACGUCGCGGAAGGGUUCUCAACUACAACAAUGAUGACAAUGCCUUACCAAAAUGAACUAGAUUUACUGAAAUAAAAGUAUUUAAUCAGGCCCCACUUUUGUUUUAUUCUUUUCAAAUACAAAUUUGGAUUUUUAAUGAUUA